Molecule: long non-coding RNA, 896 nt
Organism: Canis lupus familiaris (dog)
Lineage: Eukaryota; Metazoa; Chordata; Mammalia; Carnivora; Canidae
Exons: 4
Source: RefSeq, a predicted model, not a curated record
CCAAGAGAGGGGAAGGUGGGGAAAGACAAAGGUGGAAAGGCUUCCCCAGCAGAAAAUGAGAGCAAAGGCAGCUUGUCCCUCUGUGGACACACUGGAGAGUGUUUCAGCCUCUUUCUGAAGGCUGGACCCUCCCCGGCUGCCUUAGAUCCCAAAUACUGUGUUGGUUGGUGGAAACGAGGGAAUGCCCUCGCCACAUGCUGCCAGGGUGAAAACGUCUCUGCCCUCCCAACCUUGGCAGCCUUUUCUUAAUCCUGGCUGUGGGAGUCUGACGCAGAGCUUUCUUCCCUGACAUCUCUGCCUGUCAGGAGUGCUGCCAAGGGAUCCGGGCUGCCCAGUCCAGUUCUUUCCUAGUGACCUUUCCCUCCUCUCCCCUCCAGACCCCGAAACUGUCUUCACCUUCAGACCCCUGAAUUGUCUUCACCUUCUCUCCACUCUUUCCUCAUGGCAGGAUGCGGUGUUCCAACAGGAUGAAGCCCUCUUCUCACCUCCUCCUCAUCCCACCUUCCAACUCAUGAGCCCAGAGGAUUCUCAGUGCCGCUUGCACUUCGUUAUAGAUGAAAAGGUACCAGGGUUGGAUGCACAUCUAUUUCCUGCUGCAAUUCUGACAGACAUAAUCACCAGUACAAGGGCUUUAGAACCUUCAUAGAACUUUAUAUUCUAGGUGAUAAUUGGAGGGUGAGGAGCUUGAUCAAGGUCAAAGAAAUCACUAGUGGGACAGCCAACAUUGGAAGUCAGAGGUGCCUCGCCUGCUCUGUGACUACCUUCUGAGAAGCAGAACCAGCAUGGCUUUUGAGUCAGACUGACCUGGCUUCAAGUUUUAGCUGGGUCUUUUCACUUUAGUUAUUUUCCUUCUGCAUUUAAAAUUUAAAAAAUAAAUAAAUAAAUAAAAAUUUUAA